This is a long non-coding RNA of Ceratitis capitata (Mediterranean fruit fly), 845 nucleotides long. RefSeq lists it as uncharacterized. The record is from RefSeq and is a predicted model, not a curated record. NCBI's taxonomy places the organism in Eukaryota, Metazoa, Arthropoda, Insecta, Diptera, Tephritidae. The transcript has 3 exons.
UGUCAUAUUACCAUAUUGACUGAAUAUAAUUUAUAAAUAUUUAGUUUUUCAUAAUUGUCGAAAGGGGGAGCAGUCAUAUUUAAAAAAAUUUUGAAGGCAUAUGCAGAUUCAAGUGGCUGUCAAAGUGUUGAUAAACUUGGCUAUUGACGAUGGAGUAAACCGGAAACUGCCACAUAAAAAGACAGACUUCUCCAUCAGCUUUCAUUUCGGAUGUGAAGCUACAAUUUCGUAUAUACAUGGCAUGGAAGGUAUUAGUACAGAGAGAUUGAGGAAAGUAGUCCCUCGGCAGAUUAUGUCAACCUCUUCGAGUGUAUUUCUGACAUGAAGUAAAGGCCCCUCCUGAAAAACCAUCAGCCGUUCGGAGACGGCUUAGUAUAAACUGUUGGUACCUUCAUUUGUUGGGGAAACAUAUAGAAUCAAAAAAAAAAAUUAGAGAAGCUCGGACGAAAAUAGUUUCAGCGGUUACAUAGCGUCAAUUAUAAAUAUUCAACCCAUCCCUCUAUUCUACAACCCACCUGCUAUUUACCUUGUUUUACGUUAUUAUACAAUGAAAUAAAAAUUAACUCUUGCUUUUUUUAUCCGUUUUAUUACAUAAGUUUAAGUAGGCUUUAAAUAAUUUAUAUAAAUAUGUGUUAGUGGUUUCCUGUUAAAUAUCUAGUUAUAUAAAAUAAAAUGGACCAUAUCAUGAAUUAAAAUUUGUUAAAUCUUUCCUCUUUUUUCAAUUUUUGUAUUGAGAAUUUCAUAAAUUUCACGAUAGGUCUCAAUAUAAUUAAGAAAAGUUUGAUGGUGUAUUAAUUUUAGGAUGAAUUUAAUAAUUUACGGAAUAAUUUAGUUUUGUGAAAAGU